GACGAACGCUGGCGGCGUGCUUAACACAUGCAAGUCGAACGGAAAGGCCUUUUCGGAGGUACUCGAGUGGCGAACGGGUGAGUAACACGUGGGUGAUCUGCCCUGCACUCUGGGAUAAGCCUGGGAAACUGGGUCUAAUACCGGAUAGGACCGCACUUUAGUGUGUGUGGUGGAAAGUUUUUUCGGUGUAGGAUGAGCCCGCGGCCUAUCAGCUUGUUGGUGGGGUAAUGGCCUACCAAGGCGGCGACGGGUAGCCGGACUGAGAGGUUGGUCGGCCACAUUGGGACUGAGAUACGGCCCAGACGCCUACGGGAGGCAGCAGGGGGGAAUAUUGCACAAUGGGCGCAAGCCGGAUGCAGCGACGCCGCGUGGGGGAUGACGGCCUUCGGGUUGUAAACUCCUUUCGCCAGGGACGAAGCGUUUUGUGACGGUACCUGGAGAAGAAGCACCGGCUAACUACGUG
RNAcentral lists this ribosomal RNA (463 nucleotides) under uncultured bacterium. RNAcentral describes it as "partial 16S ribosomal RNA". It matches the Rfam family "Bacterial small subunit ribosomal RNA", at positions 28 to 507 of the family's 1533-position model. The record is from RNAcentral.